GGCGCCGUGGCUUAGUUGGUUAAAGCGCCUGUCUAGUAAACAGGAGAUCGUGGGUUCGAAUCCCACCGGGGCCU
Transfer RNA from Tribolium castaneum (red flour beetle), 74 nucleotides. It matches the Rfam family "tRNA". From Rfam's summary of the family: Transfer RNA (tRNA) molecules are approximately 80 nucleotides in length. Lineage: Eukaryota; Metazoa; Arthropoda; Insecta; Coleoptera; Tenebrionidae. The record is from Rfam.